Molecule: ribosomal RNA, 506 nt
Filed under: uncultured bacterium
Lineage: Bacteria
Description: partial 16S ribosomal RNA
Rfam family: Bacterial small subunit ribosomal RNA
Source: RNAcentral
AUUGAACGCUGGCGGCAUGCCUUACAUAUGCAAGUCGAACGGCAGCAUGGAAGAGCUUGCUCUUCUGAUGGCGAGUGGCGAGCGGGUGAGUAAAGCAUCGGAACGUACCGUGUAAUGGGGGAUAACGUAGCGAAAGUUACGCUAAUACCGCAUACGACCUGAGGGUGAAAGCAGGGGAUCGCAAGACCUUGCGUUAUACGAGCGGCCGAUGUCAGAUUAGCUAGUUGGUGAGGUAAAGGCUCACCAAGGCGACGAUCUGUAGCGGGUCUGAGAGGAUGAUCCGCCACACUGGGACUGAGACACGGCCCAGACUCCUACGGGAGGCAGCAGUGGGGAAUUUUGGACAAUGGGGGCAACCCUGAUUCAGCCAUGCCGCGUGAGUGAAGAAGGCCUUCGGGUUGUAAAGCUCUUUCGGCCGGGAAGAAAUCGCACAGGCUAAUACUCUGUGUGGAUGACGGUACCGGCAUAAGAAGCACCGGCUAACUACGUGCCAGCCGCCGCCGUAA